Molecule: ribosomal RNA, 497 nt
Filed under: uncultured bacterium
Lineage: Bacteria
Description: partial 16S ribosomal RNA
Rfam family: Bacterial small subunit ribosomal RNA
Source: RNAcentral
GAUGAACGCUGGCGGCGUGCCUAAUACAUGCAAGUCGAGCGAACAGACGAGGAGCUUGCUCCUCGGACGUUAGGGGCGGAGGGGUGAGAAACACGUGGAAAACCUACCUAUAAGACGGGGAUAACUUCGGGAAACGGGAGCUAAUACCGGAUAAUAUAUUGAACCGCAGGGGUGAAUAGUGAAAGACGGUUUUGCUGUCACUUAUAGAUGGAUCCGCGCCGCAUUAGCUAGUUGGUACGGUAACGGGUUACCAAGGCAACGAUGCGUGGCCGACCUGAGAGGGUGGUCGGCCGCCCUGGAACUGAGCCACGGUCCAGACUCCUACGGGAGGGAGCAGUAUGGAAUCUGCCGCAAUGGGCGGAAGCUUGACGGAGCGACGCCGCGUGAGUGAUGAAGGUCUUCCGAUCGUAAAACUCUGUUAUUAGUGAAAAACAAAUGUGUAAGUAACUAUGCACGUCUUGACGGUACCUAAUCAGAAAGCCACGGCUAACUACGUG